RNAcentral lists this ribosomal RNA (253 nucleotides) under uncultured bacterium. RNAcentral describes it as "partial 16S ribosomal RNA". It matches the Rfam family "Bacterial small subunit ribosomal RNA", at positions 524 to 776 of the family's 1533-position model. The record is from RNAcentral.
UACGUAGGGAGCAAGCGUUGUCCGGAAUCAUUGGGCGUAAAGCGCGCGUAGGUGGCCACAUAAGUCCGCUGUGAAAGUCAAAGGCUCAACCUUUGAAUGCCGAUGGAUACUGUGUGGCUAGAGUACGGAAGAGGCGAGUGGAAUUCCUGGUGUAGCGGUGGAAUGCGCAGAUAUCAGGAGGAACACCAAUAGCGAAGGCAGCUCGCUGGGACGUUACUGACACUGAGGCGCGAAAGCGUGGGGAGCGAACAGG